Molecule: small nucleolar RNA, 137 nt
Organism: Leptonychotes weddellii (Weddell seal)
Lineage: Eukaryota; Metazoa; Chordata; Mammalia; Carnivora; Phocidae
Product: small nucleolar RNA SNORA70
Source: RefSeq, a predicted model, not a curated record
CAUCGGUUUUUUAAAAUAACUGUCUUUUUCUUUCCCUGCGGGGACCCAGUGUGCAAGGGCUCCUUGCAGUAGCCUCCUUGGUAGUGUAUGCAGCCUGGUGGCUGUAUGGGUUGCCCUACGGGACCUUGGAGACAACC